Pelobates cultripes (western spadefoot toad) is the source of this 131-nucleotide non-coding RNA. NCBI's taxonomy places the organism in Eukaryota, Metazoa, Chordata, Amphibia, Anura, Pelobatidae. The record is from the annotation of a GenBank genome assembly.
CUGCACUCUUUCCACAUCUCUAUGUAUUUUUAAACAAAUGGAGGUUUUUAGUUACCCUCUCAUGGCCAUUGGAGGUAACUAAAAACCUCAAUUUGUUUAAAAAUACAUAAGGAUGUGGAAAGAGCGCAGGU